UCCGUAGGCGGUGUGGCAAGUCGGUAGUGAAAUCUCUCGGCUUAACUGAGAGGCUGCUGCCGAAACUGCCAUGCUCGAGUGCGAGAGAGGCGAGUGGAAUUGCGGGUGUAGCGGUGAAAUGCGUAGAUAUCCGCAGGAACAUCCGAGGCGAAAGCGGCUCGCUGGAUCGCAACUGACGCUGAGGGACGAAAGCUAGGGGAGCAAACAGGAUUAGAUACCCUGGUAGCCCUAGCCCUAAACCAUCAGGACUUGGGGUUUGCCCUGUACGGGGCAAGUCCCGGAGCUAACGCGUUAAGUCCUGCGCCUGGGGAGUACGGUCGCAAGGCUGAA
RNAcentral lists this ribosomal RNA (330 nucleotides) under uncultured bacterium. RNAcentral's name for it is "bacterial SSU rRNA". It matches the Rfam family "Bacterial small subunit ribosomal RNA", at positions 568 to 898 of the family's 1533-position model. The record is from RNAcentral.